AUUGAACGCUGGCGGCAGGCCUAACACAUGCAAGUCGAGCGGAUGAAGGGAGCUUGCUCCUGGAUUCAGCGGCGGACGGGUGAGUAAUGCCUAGGAAUCUGCCUGGUAGUGGGGGAUAACGUCCGGAAACGGGCGCUGAUACCGCAUACGUCCUGAGGGAGAAAGUGGGGGAUCUUCGGACCUCACGCUAUCAGAUGAGCCUAGGUCGGAUUAGCUAGUUGGUGGGGUAAAGGCCUACCAAGGCGACGAUCCGUAACUGGUCUGAGAGGAUGAUCAGUCACACGGGAACUGAGACACGGUCCAGACUCCUACGGGAGGCAGCAGUGGGGAAUAUUGGACAAUGGGCGAAAGCCUGAUCCAGCCAUGCCGCGUGUGUGAAGAAGGUCUUCGGAUUGUAAAGCACUUUAAGUUGGGAGGAAGGGCAGUAAGUUAAUACCUUGCUGUUUUGACGUUACCAACAGAAUAAGCACCGGCUAACUUCGUG
Molecule: ribosomal RNA, 484 nt
Filed under: uncultured bacterium
Lineage: Bacteria
Description: partial 16S ribosomal RNA
Rfam family: Bacterial small subunit ribosomal RNA
Source: RNAcentral